RNAcentral lists this ribosomal RNA (428 nucleotides) under Pseudomonadota bacterium. Its description in RNAcentral is "Proteobacteria bacterium partial 16S ribosomal RNA". It matches the Rfam family "Bacterial small subunit ribosomal RNA", at positions 355 to 776 of the family's 1533-position model. Lineage: Bacteria; Pseudomonadati; Pseudomonadota. The record is from RNAcentral.
UGGGGAAUAUUGGACAAUGGGCGAAAGCCUGAUCCAGCCAUGCCGCGUGUGUGAAGAAGGUCUUCGGAUUGUAAAGCACUUUAAGUUGGGAGGAAGGGCAGUAAGCGAAUACCUUGCUGUUUUGACGUUACCGACAGAAUAAGCACCGGCUAACUCUGUGCCAGCAGCCGCGGUAAUACAGAGGGUGCAAGCGUUAAUCGGAAUUACUGGGCGUAAAGCGCGCGUAGGUGGUUCGUUAAGUUGAAUGUGAAAGCCCCGGGCUCAACCUGGGAACUGCAUCAAAAACUGGCGAGCUAGAGUAGGGCAGAGGGGGGUGGAAUUUCCUGGGUAGCGGUGAAAUGCGUAGAUAUAGGAAGGAACACCAGUGGCGAAGGCGACCACCUGGGCUCAUACUGACACUGAGGUGCGAAAGCGUGGGAGCAAACAGG